Molecule: transfer RNA, 67 nt
Filed under: Hyemoschus aquaticus (Water chevrotain)
Lineage: Eukaryota; Metazoa; Chordata; Mammalia; Artiodactyla; Tragulidae
Description: tRNA-Val
Source: RNAcentral
CAAAGCAUAGCUUAAACAAAGCAUCUAGUUUACACCUAGAAGAUUUCAUGAGCCAUGAGUGCCUUGA